RNAcentral lists this ribosomal RNA (441 nucleotides) under uncultured bacterium. RNAcentral describes it as "bacterial SSU rRNA". It matches the Rfam family "Bacterial small subunit ribosomal RNA", at positions 355 to 796 of the family's 1533-position model. The record is from RNAcentral.
UGGGGAAUAUUGCGCAAUGGUCGAGAGACUGACGCAGCGACGCCGCGUGUGGGAUGAAGCUCUUCGGGGUGUAAACCACUGUUGCCCGGGACGAACGGGAGGAUCAAUCCUCCGUGACGGUACCGGGUGAGGAAGCACCGGCUAACUCCGUGCCAGCAGCCGCGGUAAUACGGAGGGUGCGAGCGUUGUCCGGAAUCACUGGGCGUAAAGGGCGCGUAGGCGGCUUUGUAAGCGGGCGGUGAAAGUCCGGGGCUCAACCCCGGAUCGGCCGUGCGGACUGCAAAGCUCGAGCACUGUAGAGGCCGGUGGAAUUCCGGGUGUAGCGGUGGAAUGCGUAGAGAUCCGGAGGAACACCAGUGGCGAAGGCGGCCGGCUGGGCAGUGGCUGACGCUGAGGCGCGAUAGCGUGGGGAGCAAACAGGAUUAGAUACCCCCGUAGUCC